AUAAGGAUAUUCCCGAGGGGAUA
This 23-nucleotide non-coding RNA is filed under the name Arabidopsis thaliana (thale cress). The record is from RNAcentral. Lineage: Eukaryota; Viridiplantae; Streptophyta; Magnoliopsida; Brassicales; Brassicaceae.